UUCUAAUAGUAAUCAUUAUUAGUAAGCCCUGCUCAAUGAUACUUUUAAUAGCCGCAAUAACAUGUGCUAAGGUAGCAUAAUAACUUGCCUAUUAAUUAUAGGCUAGAAUGAAAGGGUCAACACGAAUAAUUCUUUAUUUAUCUAAUUAAUCUAAUUUUAUUUAUAAGUAAAAAAGCUUAUAUAAAUAAGAAGGACGACAAGACCCUGUCGAACUUAACUUCAGUUAAGCUGGGGUGGCAAGAAAACUAAAUCUUAUCUAUAUUUUUAUGAAAAAUAAACAACUAUGUGAAUAUUAACAAGUUACCGCAGGGAUAACAGCAUAAUUUUUUCUAAUAGAUCUCAUAUAAGAAAAAGAUUGUGACCUCGAUGUUGAAUUAAUUUUACUUAUUGGUGCAGCAUCUAAACAAGUAAGUCUGUUCGACUUUUAAAAAAUUACA
Molecule: ribosomal RNA, 437 nt
Filed under: Atrax sp. GG-2001
Lineage: Eukaryota; Metazoa; Arthropoda; Arachnida; Araneae; Hexathelidae
Description: partial 16S ribosomal RNA
Rfam family: Bacterial large subunit ribosomal RNA
Source: RNAcentral